Brassica napus (rape) is the source of this 72-nucleotide non-coding RNA. Lineage: Eukaryota; Viridiplantae; Streptophyta; Magnoliopsida; Brassicales; Brassicaceae. The record is from Rfam.
AGUAUUAGGUAGUUGGUUAGGUAAAGGCUGACCAAGCCGAUGAUGCUUAGCUGGUCUUUUCGGACGAUCAGC